Molecule: long non-coding RNA, 535 nt
Organism: Penaeus indicus
Lineage: Eukaryota; Metazoa; Arthropoda; Malacostraca; Decapoda; Penaeidae
Exons: 3
Source: RefSeq, a predicted model, not a curated record
GGAAGCCAGGUGUGUGUUGGCCGCCGUCUCUCUCUCUCUCUAUUUUUAAUCGUGGAUUGCUGGAUGUUAUUCUUUUUAUUAUCGUUUUCUUUUUUUUGCCGCUCUGUUCCCGUCGCGUCUGAGGGAAUCAGCUGUGAUUAUUUUUUAUAUAUAUAUGUAAAUUAAUUGGAAUGGUGAAUUCUCUCUCUUUUUUUUUUAAAUAGAUGAGUAUUAAUCACAAGAGCGGACUGUGAGAUGUGCUUGUAAAAAUCUGAAGCCUGGUUUUGUGUUAAGCGUUGAGUGUUAAAGAGCAAGAUUGUUUAGAAGCUGAAAUAUUCACUGCUGACCUGAGGCGUGGAUGGUCUCGAUAGCGACACGAUGGCUUCAAAGAACACGGGCUAAACAGCGACUUACGGACUCCAGGCGCAUGACACUCUGCAUGACGGAGGCUGAUCUCACCGUGCUGAACAUGGUAAGUCAGCGGCUAAGUAAGUAAGUAAGUCGCUCUCUUGCGGCGCUCUGAAUAAACUAGUUUAGGGGACGAUGCCGAAUGUGG